Molecule: non-coding RNA, 505 nt
Organism: Meleagris gallopavo (turkey)
Lineage: Eukaryota; Metazoa; Chordata; Aves; Galliformes; Phasianidae
Source: RefSeq, a predicted model, not a curated record
UCAGCUGUGUGACCAGAAGGGGUGGAGCCUGGCUGCGCCUCUCUUAGACUCCAUGUAAGGGCUGACUGCCACUGGGGAAGGGGCUCUGAUGGGAGAUCCCCUCCUCUGUGGAGUUUUUCUCUGUGAGCCUAGAUGGUUGGAGAUGGACACAGUGUUAAACUACUGGUCACCUGUCAGCAUUAAUCAGGGAACUGCGUACAAGGAAGGUGGAACUGAGGAAAACCAAGAAAGCUCCUGCGAGCAUAAUCAGUGUGUUUGGAUGGGUCCCACCCUUGGCCUGAGGGGUUCUCUUGGCUCUGGAUGGAAGGGCUGCUGAAUUAUUUAGAUGUGGAAUGGGUGUUCUGACAGCAAGAAUUAUGGUAAAGACUUGAGAUUUACAAGACAGGUUCAGAGGCUCCUAGAAGCAGUGGAAAAAAUAAACAAGAGGAGACAGAGCAGGAAGGCUUCACACUGUGGCUCUGGGGCAAGCAGUUCAUGGGCUCUUGUGGCAGCGUACAGCUGGGAA